This 334-nucleotide long non-coding RNA is filed under the name Trifolium pratense (red clover). RNAcentral's name for it is "long non-coding RNA (TPRA_LNC012112)". Lineage: Eukaryota; Viridiplantae; Streptophyta; Magnoliopsida; Fabales; Fabaceae. The record is from RNAcentral.
CAAAGUCAAAACCUUCAAAAGAAUAAAAUCCAGUGAGAAUUUCAAAACUCUCUGAUUACUGUACCAAUUAAGGGUACCAUGUGCCUCAAAUUUCGGUACAAAACUUUAUAGUAGUUAGUCUAAAGUAGCUUGUAACUCAGCUUUAACUAAGGUGUCCUCAGCUUUAACUAUAGUUUGGUCAAAUUUUCAGGCUUCUUAAGAUCAGACAUAAUGUUGAUUAAGUAUUUGGUAAUCCAAUUUCCAAAGUUAAUUAAUCCAAAUUCAAUGGUUAACGAUUUGUAAUAUAACAGCCUGCAGGAAAAAUUUGAAGUAACUUGUUGAAAACUGAUUUUAU